GGCGGCGUGCUUAACACAUGCAAGUCGAACGAUUGAAGCUGGAGCUUGCUCCGGCCGAUUUAGUGGCGGACGGGUGAGUAACGCGUGGGUAACCUGCCUCAUACAGGGGGAUAGCAGUUGGAAACGACUGGUAAAACCGCAUAAGCGCACGGUGUCGCAUGACACAGUGUGAAAACACUCCGGUGGUAUGAGAUGGACCCGCGUCUGAUUAGCUAGUUGGUGAGGUAACGGCCCACCAAGGCGACGAUCAGUAGCCGGCCUGAGAGGGUGAACGGCCACAUUGGGACUGAGACACGGCCCAAACUCCUACGGGAGGCAGCAGUGGGGAAUAUUGCACAAUGGGGGAAACCCUGAUGCAGCGACGCCGCGUGAGUGAUGAAGUAUUUCGGUAUGUAAAGCUCUAUCAGCAGGGAAGAUAAUGACGGUACCUGACUAAGAAGCACCGGCUAAAUACGUGCCAGCAGCCGCGGUAAUACGUAUGGUGCAAGCGUUAUCCGGAUUUACUGGGCGUAAAGGGUGCGUAGGCGGCUAGGCAAGUCAGACGUGAAAACCAUGGGCUCAACCUGUGGACUGCGUUUGAAACUGUUUAGCUUGAGUGAAGUAGAGGUAGGCGGAAUUCCCGGUGUAGCGGUGAAAUGCGUAGAGAUCGGGAGGAACACCAGUGGCGAAGGCGGCCUACUGGGCUUUAACUGACGCUGAGGCACGAAAGCAUGGGUAGCAAACAGGAUUAGAUACCCUGGUAGUCCAUGCCGUAAACGAUGAUUACUAGGUGUGGGGGGUCUGACCCCCUCCGUGCCGGAGUUAACACAAUAAGUAAUCCACCUGGGGAGUACGGCCGCAAGGUUGAAACUCAAAGGAAUUGACGGGGGCCCGCACAGGCAGUGGAGUAUGUGGUUUAAUUCGAAGCAACGCGAAGAACCUUACCAGGUCUUGACAUCCGACUAACGAAGUAGAGAUACAUUAGGUGCCCUUUUUGGGAAAGUCGAGACAGGUGGUGCAUGGUUGUCGUCAGCUCGUGUCGUGAGAUGUUGGGUUAAGUCCCGCAACGAGCGCAACCCUCGUCAUUAGUUGCUACGCAAGAGCACUCUAAUGAGACUGCCGUUGACAAAACGGAGGAAGGUGGGGACGACGUCAAAUCAUCAUGCCCCUUAUGACCUGGGCUACACACGUACUACAAUGGCCGUUAACAGAGGGAAGCAAUACCGUGAGGUGGAGCCAAACCCUAAAAACGGUCCCAGUUCGGAUUGUAGGCUGAAACUCGCCUACAUGAAGUUGGAAUUGCUAGUAAUCGCGGAUCAGCAUGCCGCGGUGAAUACGUUCCCGGGCCUUGUACACACCGCCCGUCACACCAUGGGAGCCGGUAAUACCCGAAGCCAGUAGUCUAACCGUAAGGAGGACGCUGUCGAAGGUAGGAUUGGCGACUGGGGUGAAGAC
RNAcentral lists this ribosomal RNA (1434 nucleotides) under uncultured organism. RNAcentral describes it as "SSU rRNA". It matches the Rfam family "Bacterial small subunit ribosomal RNA". The record is from RNAcentral.